This 549-nucleotide ribosomal RNA is filed under the name uncultured bacterium. RNAcentral describes it as "bacterial SSU rRNA". It matches the Rfam family "Bacterial small subunit ribosomal RNA", at positions 38 to 573 of the family's 1533-position model. The record is from RNAcentral.
GGCGGCGUGGAUAAGACAUGCAAGUCGAACGCGACUUAUCUGGUUAGCAAUAACUAGGUAAGUUGAGUGGCGAAAGGGUGCGUAACACGUGGGAAUUUACCAAAAAGUGGGGAAUAGCUCGACGAAAGUCGAAUUAAUACCGCAUGUGAUCGAAAGAUCAAAGCCGGGGACCGCAAGGCCUGGCGCUUUUUGAGAAGCCCGCGGCCCAUCAGCUAGUUGGCGGGGUAACGGCCCACCAAGGCUAUGACGGGUAGCUGGUCUGAGAGGACGACCAGCCACACUGGAACUGAGACACGGUCCAGACACCUACGGGUGGCAGCAGUCGAGAAUUUUUCACAAUGGACGAAAGUCUGAUGGAGCGACGCCGCGUGGAGGAUGAAGGUUUUCGGAUUGUAAACUCCUGUCACUGCAGAACAAGGAUACGUCAGUUAACAGCCGACGUAUUUGAUGGUAUGCGGAGAGGAAGGGACGGCUAACUCUGUGCCAGCAGCCGCGGUAAGACAGAAGUCCCGAGCGUUGUUCGGAUUCAUUGGGCGUAAAGGGUGUGUA